GUGGGGAAUAUUGGACAAUGGGCGAAAGCCUGAUCCAGCCAUGCCGCGUGUGUGAAGAAGGUCUUCGGAUUGUAAAGCACUUUAAGUUGGGAGGAAGGGCAGUAAGUUAAUACCUUGCUGUUUUGACGUUACCAACAGAAUAAGCACCGGCUAACUUCGUGCCAGCAGCCGCGGUAAUACGAAGGGUGCAAGCGUUAAUCGGAAUUACUGGGCGUAAAGCGCGCGUAGGUGGUUCAGCAAGUUGGAGUGGAGAGCCCCGGGCUCAAACUGGGAACUGCCUCCAAAACUACUGAGCUAGAGUACGGUAGAGGGUAGUGGAAUUUCCUGUGUAGCGGUGAAAUGCGUAGAUAUAGGAAGGAACACCAGUGGCGAAGGCGACUACCUGGACUGAUACUGACACUGAGGUGCGAAAGCGUGGGGAGCAAACAGGAUUAGAUACCCCAGUAGUCC
Molecule: ribosomal RNA, 450 nt
Filed under: uncultured bacterium
Lineage: Bacteria
Description: partial 16S ribosomal RNA
Rfam family: Bacterial small subunit ribosomal RNA
Source: RNAcentral